This 47-nucleotide ribosomal RNA is filed under the name Clathrus archeri. RNAcentral's name for it is "partial 28S ribosomal RNA". The record is from RNAcentral. Lineage: Eukaryota; Fungi; Basidiomycota; Agaricomycetes; Phallales; Clathraceae.
CUGACCUCAAAUCAGGCAGGACUACCCGCUGAACUUAAGCAUAUCAU